Molecule: long non-coding RNA, 855 nt
Filed under: Dermacentor andersoni
Lineage: Eukaryota; Metazoa; Arthropoda; Arachnida; Ixodida; Ixodidae
Description: uncharacterized LOC126529050
Source: RNAcentral
GUUUGUUUAGACCAUUAUUUGCCCGUUUCAGCAAUCAUUUGCCACAAUGUUGCGAUGGCAGAGCACAAUGAGCAGAAUAUAAUGCAUGCCAAAUAGUUUUCGCUUUGAGUGAAACUGCAACUGAAGAUGUCGUACAUUGUUAAGCCUAUAAGGACGACACUGAAUAAAGCUCAGGAAGUCAAAUAGUCUUCUCAGAUAAAGAAUUUUGAGAUCAAUAAAAAGAAGCUACAUGGGCAAGUUGUUUCACCCUGAGAGGAGGCUGUUUUUUCAAACAUUUGAGGGUUGUAUGCAGUUAUUUGUGGGGGUUAUAUACACGCAAUUUUUAAUGCGAAAGCAGUAUGUCCAGUACACGAAAAUCUGCCAGCGGCAGCGGUGACACCGAGCAGUCGUGCCAAAUAUUGCCGAUGGUGCAGAGUAAAAACACGUCAAAAAUUCUCGGAUUGACUUCAAAUUUCUCAGGGAGGUUGCUGUAAACAAAGUAAAUCGAGGCCUAUGAAAAGAAAAUUUUGUAAAUUUCGGUCUUGGUGGGAAAUGAUCCUGGGCCUCCGAGGAAUGGGAAGAGCAUGCUUCCCCGAUGCCACAGUGGCUCCAGGGUUCUGGUUGGCUAAAGGUGUGCCUUGUGCAUGUGUCAUUGCAUAUAUCAAGUCUUACUAAAGGUGUGGCCUAAUGUGUGCUUCAGUGGGCAUGAGACGGUGCAGCCAAUGGGAAAGAGGUGGACUAUAACACUUUCGCAUUCUGACAACAUCCAGGCCUUCUAUUUCUUCAUCAACAGCCAAUGGUCACAAUUCACCACAGGGACUCCUCCGCCAAGAUAAUCUCUGUUACAAUGAAGCUGAUAAACUGUUUUGUCUGGAA